UACGGGGGGGGCAAGCGUUGUUCGGAAUUACUGGGCGUAAAGGGCUCGUAGGCGGCCAACUAAGUCAGACGUGAAAUCCCUCGGCUUAACCGGGGAACUGCGUCUGAUACUGGUUGGCUUGAGUGUGGGAGAGGGAUGCGGAAUUCCAGGUGUAGCGGUGAAAUGCGUAGAUAUCUGGAGGAACACCGGUGGCGAAGGCGGCAUCCUGGACCAUUACUGACGCUGAGGAGCGAAAGCCAGGGGAGCAAACGGG
Molecule: ribosomal RNA, 253 nt
Filed under: uncultured bacterium
Lineage: Bacteria
Description: partial 16S ribosomal RNA
Rfam family: Bacterial small subunit ribosomal RNA
Source: RNAcentral